GUACUGGAAUAGCGCGGAAACAAG
RNAcentral lists this non-coding RNA (24 nucleotides) under Arabidopsis thaliana (thale cress). Lineage: Eukaryota; Viridiplantae; Streptophyta; Magnoliopsida; Brassicales; Brassicaceae. The record is from RNAcentral.